Poecile atricapillus (Black-capped chickadee) is the source of this 861-nucleotide long non-coding RNA. RefSeq lists it as uncharacterized. The transcript has 3 exons. The record is from RefSeq and is a predicted model, not a curated record. NCBI's taxonomy places the organism in Eukaryota, Metazoa, Chordata, Aves, Passeriformes, Paridae.
GGAGAACCCCCUGUCGCCCAGCGCUGCAUUGCCUCCUUGUUUUGCUGCUAUGAUUAAUAAAAUUUGUUAAUUAGCUGCUAAUUUGACUCUUAUUAAUCAAUAUAAUCAAUAACAAUUGGUGCCGUGACUCGGAUGGGAAUAUUGGUGAGCUAUUGAGGUUUGGGGAGGCGCCCCGCUGUAACCUGCGGCCCCAGCUUCGGUUGCUUGCCCUACUUCCACCGACGAACCCAAAUUAAAACAGGGAGGCAAGGAAGGACCGGUCGACCCCUUAAAUUUUGUGCACAAAAGUCCGGACGAAGACGCGGAACGUGGACGCGUCAAGCCAGGGGAUUGGGUUCUCAUAAAAACGUGGAAAGAGACCACUCUACAACCUCGCUGGGAAGGACCGUACCUGGUGCUUUUGACCACCAACACAGCCAUCCGAACUGCUGAGAAGGGAUGGACUCAUGCCAGCCGUAUUAAAGGACCAGUGAGCAAUAGAGAGUGGAUGGUCACUAGUCCUGCGGGAGACUUGAAGACAAAAUUGUCCAAGAGACCACGGCAAUAAUAAGGGACAUUAAAAUUUCAGAGUUUAAUGAACAAGAGCAACCAAAAUAGAACUUUUGUAAUUAAACACCUGUCUAAGGCACUUAAAUUUAAUGAGCAAGGAAACAUUUAUAACAAAGAUGUGGGUGUAAUAUGCACCGAUAUUAGUUGUGGGGGAAAUUGCUAUCCAUUUGUUUGUUUUAUUUGUUUAGUUUGUAAGGAAAAGUGGUGGACCCAUUGCAGAAACGGACAUCCCCCUCGAGGAGUGUGCCGGCCGUGCUGGACAUUCCAGCGAGAAUUAACUGAUUGGGUAUUAGCUCAAAGAGUCAAAACAGG